Molecule: long non-coding RNA, 1729 nt
Organism: Camelus dromedarius (Arabian camel)
Lineage: Eukaryota; Metazoa; Chordata; Mammalia; Artiodactyla; Camelidae
Exons: 3
Source: RefSeq, a predicted model, not a curated record
AACAGCUGGCACCUCCAACAGCCUGCAGGGUAGGGGUGAGAAGGAGGGGCAGUGUCACCAAAGACUGCAGGACCUGACAGAAGGGGCCUGAAAACUUUUCUAGCUGAGGGACUGCUCUUCCUCUAGUGUUUCCAUGGAAACCCAGGCUAAGAACUCCUCUGACGGAUUUGCAUCUUAACUAUCUGGGGACCAUGCAUCCAAAAUAGCGAACGCUGCAUCCUAUUUUUCUGCUGCCUGAAUUCUCCUUUGGGUGAGCUGCUGGUGAGAGACUGCAGUGGGUUGUGACUUGACCCUUUGCAUAACUGGAAGAGAGGUGAAAUCUGCUUUUCUAGAACAUGUUCACCUGAGUUCUGGCACUGCCUUGUGGAAGCAGUGUAGACAGAAGUGUACAGUGUACAGAAGUCAGAAGAACUCCGAACUAAUUGAGGGAAGAAGGGAUGAGGCCAGCCCACCCCAGCUCGUCGAGUCGAUUUCUUCCUGGUCCCUCCCCAGCCUUGUGCUAUAGAACUCUCUCCCAUCACAACAUCUGGUUAGUCUCCACCCAGAUAUUCUGAAUGUGCUCUGCUUCAUCUCCUGACGGAGGCUUAUAACUUAUUUCCUUGCUUGCUUAGUUUUAAAAAAUGUUUUAUUGUGGACUAUAUGAUCCUUGCAAAAUGGGGCCAAAAUUAUUUAGUUGACUGAAAUAAAAAUGCACAACGUAAAAGUUGUGAGUUGAGUUUUAUUGGAGGAACUUACUGGGAACUAUAGCCAGAGAGAGAGCCUCUGAGAGAGCUCUGAGGAACUGCUCCCAAGAGGUAAGGGAGGAGCCGGCAUAUAUAUGAGUCUUGUUGGGGGGAUACUAUAAGUAGGCAACUAUAUAACUCAGUGAAGAUUAAGUGCUAAUUGCAAAAAAAAAAAAAAAAAAAAAAAAAAAUCCCAGAGAUCUCAAGUUACUGAUUUUAGUCCUUUUCUAUGUAUGGGAAAAUAUAAGAAUCUGGGAUCGUUGAAAUUCUUCCUUAGAUAGACAUCUCUACUAACUAGGGGCCAUAUGCAGAAAGCUGCACCCAGUUUUUUCCACAUCCUGAAUUUCCCUCAGGGUGCACUGUAGGUGGGCAACUGCAGUAGCUAAUAGCUUGGUCCUUGUAACACUGGAAUGGCAGAAAACUUUUUUUUUCCUUUACAAAUUAAAAAUAAUAAAAUGAAAAAGCAAAUACCCCCACCCCUUGCCUUUAAGGUUUAAAAACAGAAUUAUCAAAAAAACCAAAAACACAGAACUAUCAGUAUCUUAGGAGUCCCUGAAAUUGCCAUCAACCUGGUGAUUGUGUAAAUCACUUUCACUAUAUGUGUAAAACUUUCUUUGUUUUAUAUAUAUAUGUAUAUAUAUAUACACACACACACACACAUAGUGUACACAUGUAUUCUCUAUAAUAUAAUAUUUUACAUAUAAUAUAAUAAAUAUAAUGUAUAAUGUAUAAAACUGUUAUGACAAUAUGUAUUAUAUAUGUUUAUAUAGUUUUGCCACUAUAUAAAAAUUCCUAGGCAAUGACUUGUUUUGCUUUGCCUGUCUUUGAAUUUUAUAGAAAUCAAACAGUAUUUUGUAUAUUCCUAUGUGACUUGCCUCCUUCUUUCACCAUUCUGCUCCUGAGAUUUAUCCCUGUCAUCUGUGUGGUUGCUGUUCAUGUAUUUUCCAUGCUGUGUAAUAAAUAGUUCAUGGCAUGAUUGCACCGAGGUUUAUCUAUCCAUUUUUCUG